RNAcentral lists this ribosomal RNA (505 nucleotides) under uncultured bacterium. RNAcentral describes it as "partial 16S ribosomal RNA". It matches the Rfam family "Bacterial small subunit ribosomal RNA", at positions 28 to 507 of the family's 1533-position model. The record is from RNAcentral.
GACGAACGCUGGCGGCGUGCCUAAUACAUGCAAGUAGAACGCACAGUUUAUACCGUAGCUUGCUACACCAUAGACUGUGAGUUGCGAACGGGUGAGUAACGCGUAGGUAACCUGCCUGGUAGCGGGGGAUAACUAUUGGAAACGAUAGCUAAUACCGCAUAAUAUUGAUUAUUGCAUGAUAAUUGAUUGAAAGAUGCUAUUGCAUCACUACCAGAUGGACCUGCGUUGUAUUAGCUAGUAGGUGAGGUAACGGCUCACCUAGGCGACGAUACAUAGCCGACCUGAGAGGGUGAUCGGCCACACUGGGACGGAGACACGGCCCAGACUCCUACGGGAGGCAGCAGUAGGGAAUCUUCGGCAAUGGACGAAAGUCUGACCGAGCAACGCCGCGUGAGUGAAGAAGGUUUUCGGAUCGUAAAGCUCUGUUGUAAGAGAAGAACGGGUGUGAGAGUGGAAAGUUCACACUGUGACGGUAUCUUACCAGAAAGGGACGGCUAACUACGUG